This 72-nucleotide transfer RNA is filed under the name Candidatus Epulonipiscium sp. RNAcentral describes it as "tRNA-Thr". It matches the Rfam family "tRNA". From Rfam's summary of the family: Transfer RNA (tRNA) molecules are approximately 80 nucleotides in length. Their secondary structure includes four short double-helical elements and three loops (D, anti-codon, and T loops). The record is from RNAcentral. Lineage: Bacteria; Bacillati; Bacillota; Clostridia; Lachnospirales; Lachnospiraceae.
GCUCUCGUGGCUCAGUGGUAGAGCACCGCCUUGGUAAGGCGGAGAUCGGCGGUUCGAGUCCGCUCGGGAGCU